RNAcentral lists this long non-coding RNA (1541 nucleotides) under Homo sapiens (human). Its description in RNAcentral is "maternally expressed 8, small nucleolar RNA host gene". The stretch from base 1 to 74 matches the Rfam family "Small nucleolar RNA SNORD113/SNORD114 family". Lineage: Eukaryota; Metazoa; Chordata; Mammalia; Primates; Hominidae. The record is from RNAcentral.
GGACCAAUGAUGACAAAUGGUGGCAUUGGAGUUAUGGACGAUGAAUGAUAUGUGUCUGAAACUCUGAGGUCCAACACAGCACAUAAUUAGUGUAUUCUCUCUGUUGAAAUUGACUUACAGAGAAAUGUCAGGAAUAUAUAGAUAAUAUCUAUGUAUUGAUUCCAUAGAUUGAUAUUUAUUAUUACCAUUGGAUCAAUGAUAGAUCCAUUAAACUAAUAUAAAUUAAUGUAUAAAGAACAAGAGGGUCAAGCAUUGUCCAAUAUGAACAUAUGUGUGGAGUCAAGAAAUAUUACUAAUCAAAAUUUAAAGCACUGACAUUCAUUUACAAAUAAAUGGAUAAAAGAUAUUACCACUUUUAGUAAGAAUAAUAUAGAAAUUGAUAAGUAAGAGUUGAUUUUAUUGUUCUGGGUUAGUCUCAUGAUAGAAGUGUUCCUUUGCGUAAGAUAAAUACACACACACACACACACACACACACACACACACACAGUGAACAAAUAAUAAAUACCUAAAUGACCUAGUAAAUGAAAUACAGAAAGCAGGAAUCAAGAAUCAAUGGAGAUAAGGUCUUAAUUUUGUUAUCAUUUGCUCUGCUUCAUACCCUUAGAAUGGAUACGCUCAGGUGAUUUAAGCAGUCUUCCAUGGCCACGAGCUCUGUGGUUGCCUCUGUAUAUUAAGAGCACAGAGAUUAAAAAUGGGUGCACUUGAGCCGAUUGAAACAUUCCUCCUUGCAUCUUUCUUCUGUGAUUGCAUCUAUUUGUUAGUAGCAUAGAGACCAAUAAUAGAUGGCUUGUGCUGAUGGAAGGAUUCCUCCCUGGUGACAUGCUGUGUCUGCCUCUUGAUUGGGAGCACGCAGACCUACAAUGAUGCACUUUUUAUGAUUUGAGAAUUCCUUCAUGGUCACGUGCUCUGUUUUUAUCAUGGUUGGGAGCCUGCAGAGCAAUAAGGGACAUGCCUUUGCUGAUUUGAGGAUUCCUCUGAGGUUGGGAGCUAAGUUUGCAUCAUGCUUAGAAAGGAGUGUGCAGACCUGUAAUGAUUGCACUUUGCUGAUUGAAGGAUUCCUUCAAGUCCAUGUGCUCCACUUGCACCAUUUUUAGGAUGGAGCCUGGAGACCUAUAAUGAACAACUUGUGCUGUGUUAAGGAUUCCUCCAUGAUCACGCGCCCCAUUUGUACACCAUGCUUGGGAAGGUGCAUGCAGACCAAUGUUAGUAAUAGUCAAAAUUCCUGUGUCGGUUUGUGUGGUUUGCUAAACAGGACUCAAUGUAUCAUGAAACAGUGUAUUAUAUAGUCAACUAUGGUCAACUAUGUCCCAGUGAUAUUUAUGAGAGGGAUCUGAAGUAUUUAUUGAUAAUGCAUAUAUGAAAAACGGAGAAGAAUUAAUGAAACAGAUAUAUCUGUGUUAGAAUGAUUCUGUAUAAAGAUAGGGAAUAUCAAGUCUGUUCUUAGUGUUUUGUGAAUCACAGAGUGUAAAAUUAUUCCCAGUGAAUUAAUGAAUAAAUUUAAAGACAACAUAGAAAUGAAUGCAGAAAAAGAGGGUCAACCC